Molecule: long non-coding RNA, 258 nt
Filed under: Vitis vinifera (wine grape)
Lineage: Eukaryota; Viridiplantae; Streptophyta; Magnoliopsida; Vitales; Vitaceae
Description: long non-coding RNA (VVIN_LNC000599)
Source: RNAcentral
AGACUUGGAUAUACCUUCUCACAGCCGUUGCAUUGAGCAAGAUCCAGAAACAAAUAGGAGCCAUAACAAAGCAGAAACCACAGAAAACAGAACACAAAAGAAAACGAGUAAAAGUGAUCAUCAGAGGCUUCACUUCAUGAGUUAUCCGUGAGUCCUCUGAUUAGGUGAGAAAAAAAUACAAUAUGGAAUGUAGAUAUUGGCAUGAUUCUUGGGCGUUUCACAACAGAGACAAGACAUGCUCAGAUUAACAAUACCAAA